AUGAGGCUUGGGAGUCUGACUCAGAAAAUAAGCAGCUCUGUGUCAGAGAAUGAGGAAGCUGGUGUCGAGGAAGAGAUUUGUGAUGAGGCCAGAUCAGUGUUUGUGCUCCUCACCUUCGUCUGUUACCUGCCUCCAGCUGACUGGAUACGGGGGACUGGAUGGAGCACGUUGGCGGGAGAAUCACUGGUGAAUCUGAAGCAAGCGGAGGCAGCUUCAGUAAGACGCGCCAUUGCCGCCUCUCAGGAAACCAUUCAAGAGGGCGGAACCUGCAAGUGUUUGCCAAGAGAAAGAUUUUACAUACCCUUUUAAAAUAGACUUCAUGAGGAGCUGAGAUUUCACAAUGCAGAAGGGGAAAAAAGAAGGUGGGGCGUAUACAUUAGAAUCUGGUAUGCUGUGUACUACGUGCCUUCAAAAGUCAAAUAGAACUUCUCUCUGUCCAAAAAAUACAAAAGUAAAAUAAAAUAGACUUCCUGAGGGAUGUCAGAAAGGUACAUUGCCUCUUUAAAUGAUGUAUGAAUAGUUCAUUUAUUUUUAAAAAUAAUCACAUAUGUGUUUAUAUAAAUUAUACAUGCAAACAUAUGCUCAGCAGUUCUCCUCAUGGAAAGGCUGUUGCUUAUCCAAUUUGGUGCUGACACUGUCUUUCCAUGGUCCUCUCUCUAGCAACAGGAUUCUGCUGUCCGCCCCCCACCCCCACCCCCGUGUAAGAGCCUGCAUAUAGAGCUCCUUCUGCACGACGCCAAGCACUUACUUUUAUACUUUUCUUACCACUGAUGCUGGGUAAGAAAUAAAAUCCAGAGACUUCACUAUCUAUAAUUAAGACUUUUGCUGCCACCAUGAUAUAAAGAUUGGGA
This 851-nucleotide long non-coding RNA is filed under the name Capra hircus (goat). RNAcentral's name for it is "lncRNA (ENSCHIG00000005823.1)". The record is from RNAcentral. Lineage: Eukaryota; Metazoa; Chordata; Mammalia; Artiodactyla; Bovidae.